This 450-nucleotide ribosomal RNA is filed under the name uncultured bacterium. Its description in RNAcentral is "bacterial SSU rRNA". It matches the Rfam family "Bacterial small subunit ribosomal RNA", at positions 354 to 796 of the family's 1533-position model. The record is from RNAcentral.
GUGGGGAAUAUUGGACAAUGGGCGAAAGCCUGAUCCAGCCAUGCCGCGUGUGUGAAGAAGGUCUUCGGAUUGUAAAGCACUUUAAGUUGGGAGGAAGGGCAGUAAGUUAAUACCUUGCUGUUUUGACGUUACCGACAGAAUAAGCACCGGCUAACUUCGUGCCAGCAGCCGCGGUAAUACGAAGGGUGCAAGCGUUAAUCGGAAUUACUGGGCGUAAAGCGCGCGUAGGUGGUUUUGUAAGUUGGAGGUGAAAUCCCCGGGCUCAACCGGGGAACUGCCUCAAAAACUGCAUGACUAGAGUACGGUAGAGGGUAGUGGAAUUUCCUGUGUAGCGGUGAAAUGCGUAGAUAUAGGAAGGAACACCAGUGGCGAAGGCGACUACCUGGACUGAUACUGACACUGAGGUGCGAAAGCGUGGGGAGCAAACAGGAUUAGAAACCCUGGUAGUCC